CCUACGGGAGGCUGCAGUGGGGGAUAUUGCACAAUGGAGGAAACUCUGAUGCAGCAACGCCGCGUGAGGGAAGAAGGUCUUCGGAUUGUAAACCUCUGUCCUCAGGGACGAUAAUGACGGUACCUGAGGAGGAAGCUCCGGCUAACUACGUGCCAGCAGCCGCGGUAAUACGUAGGGAGCAAGCGUUGUCCGGAUUUACUGGGUGUAAAGGGCGCGUAGGCGGCCCUGCAAGUCAGGUGUGAAAACUAUGGGCUUAACUCAUAGAUUGCACUUGAAACUGUGGGGCUGGGGUGAAGUAGAGGCAGGGGGAAGGGGGGGUGUAGCGGUGAAGUGCGUAGAGGGCGGGAAGAACACGAGUGGCGAAGGGGGCGGGCUGGGCUGUAACUGACGGUGGGGCACGAAGGCGUGGGUAGCAAACAGGAUUAGAUGCGCGGGUAGGG
RNAcentral lists this ribosomal RNA (440 nucleotides) under uncultured bacterium. RNAcentral describes it as "bacterial SSU rRNA". It matches the Rfam family "Bacterial small subunit ribosomal RNA", at positions 338 to 795 of the family's 1533-position model. The record is from RNAcentral.